Long non-coding RNA from Pygocentrus nattereri (red-bellied piranha), 1085 nucleotides. RefSeq lists it as uncharacterized. The record is from RefSeq and is a predicted model, not a curated record. The transcript is spliced from 2 exons. NCBI's taxonomy places the organism in Eukaryota, Metazoa, Chordata, Actinopteri, Characiformes, Serrasalmidae.
CUCAGCUGCGGUUCGUUAACUCGGUUCACGGUGAACAGUUGCAGGCUUACAAAAUUAGUGACAAUUCAGACAAUUCGACCGCCUCGUCGCGAUUUACAAAUUCAGCAGCAGGCAAGUGUUCGAGGACGAGCUUGGCGAGGUGGAUGCGAUGGAAGCAAUGCCUUUUACUGCUUUCUGUGUUUGCUAUUUCAAAGUCCUGGUACGGAGGCAUUCUGGACGACGACCGGGGUCUGUGGUAUCAUACUGGCAGGGAGUGCUUUUCCUUCACAAACCACCUUGUUAGUGCCACAUUCCUGCACAGGGACAGGUUUGAACAAUACAACACGCUCAGUGCCUCUUCAGGAAAUGCCAACCCCUUAAAAGCCUAUCCAGUGCUCAGUUAAGGUGGGAUGAAGACUGCGCUUGGUCUCAUCUACAGCAAAGAAGAGUUCAAAGCCUGUUGUGGUGCUGUGGGCCUACUCCAGCUGUUUAUGGAAAACAAUCUAGAAGUCUUUUCAGAGACUCUCACGCUCCUGAAGAUCACCACACCCAUGAGCACAGCAGAAGCUGAAAGGUGCUUUUCAACCCUGAAAAGAAUUAAGACUUUUCUGAGAAACUCCAUGACCCAGGACAAGCUGAAUGCAUUGGCCAUGUCAAUGGAGAAAACACUAGUCACAGAGAUGAAAUUUGCAGGCCAGAAGGAGGGCAAAAUUAAAUGUUUAAAUGGUGCUAUUUUUAAGAUUUUUGUUCAUUUUUAACUUCAGUUUGCGCCCCCCUCAAUUUCCUUUUUUCUUAGCACCAGCCGCCACUGGUCCUGACCACCUCUACAUGCCUAAAUGCGUUGUGUCCAUGUGAUUGGUUGAUUAGCCAUUUGUGUUAACAAGCAAUUAAAUGUGUACCUAAUAAAGUGGCUGGUGAGUAUAUCAGAAUGAGAGAAAAUUAGUAAUCAUUUUGACAAGUUUGCUUUUAGUUUUUGUAUUUUGGACAUCUGGAUUCUCAAUAUGUUGCUUGUGUAUCUUUAAUAUUUUAUUUGAAACAUCUGACACAAUAUUCACUGACUUUUUUUUUUGGCAAGCCUUAUACCAUCCUUGCUGAUAAAAGGAACA